This 440-nucleotide ribosomal RNA is filed under the name uncultured bacterium. RNAcentral's name for it is "partial 16S ribosomal RNA". It matches the Rfam family "Bacterial small subunit ribosomal RNA", at positions 339 to 795 of the family's 1533-position model. The record is from RNAcentral.
CUACGGGGUGCUGCAGUGAGGAAUAUUGCACAAUGGGGGGAACCCUGAUGCAGCAACGCCGCGUGGAGGAUGACGCAUUUCGGUGUGUAAACUCCUUUUAUAUGUCAAGAAAAUGACGGUAGCAUAUGAAUAAGCACCGGCUAACUCCGUGCCAGCAGCCGCGGUAAUACGGAGUGGUACAAGCGUUACUCGGAAUCACUGGGCGUAAAGGACGCGUAGGCGGGUUGGAAAGUCAGGUGUGAAAUCCUACAGCUUAACUGUAGAACUGCACUUGAAACUUCUAAUCUAGAGUAUGGGAGGGGGAGAUGGAAUUAGUGGUGUAGGGGUAAAAUCCGUAGAUAUCACUAGGAAUACCUAAAGCGAAGGCGAUCUCCUGGAACAUUACUGACGCUAAGGCGUGAAAGCGUGGGGAGCAAACAGGAUUAGAUACCCGCGUAGUC